This 253-nucleotide ribosomal RNA is filed under the name uncultured bacterium. Its description in RNAcentral is "partial 16S ribosomal RNA". It matches the Rfam family "Bacterial small subunit ribosomal RNA", at positions 524 to 776 of the family's 1533-position model. The record is from RNAcentral.
UACAGAGGGUGCAAGCGUUAUUCGGAAUUAUUGGGCGUAAAGCGCACGUAGGUGGCUUUGUAAGUCUGAUGUGAAAACCCCGGACUCAAUUCGGGAAGUGCAUUGGAUACUGCUUAGCUGGAGGACAGGAGAGGUGAGUGGAAUUCCUGGUGUAGAGGUGAAAUUCGUAGAUAUCAGGAGGAACACCAGUGGCGAAGGCGGCUCACUGGCUCGAUACUGACGCUGAGGUGCGAAAGCGUGGGGAGCAAACAGG